This 253-nucleotide ribosomal RNA is filed under the name uncultured bacterium. Its description in RNAcentral is "partial 16S ribosomal RNA". It matches the Rfam family "Bacterial small subunit ribosomal RNA", at positions 524 to 776 of the family's 1533-position model. The record is from RNAcentral.
UACGUAGGGCGCAAGCGUUGUCCGGAAUUAUUGGGCGUAAAGAGCUCGUAGGCGGCUUGUCACGUCGGGUGUGAAAGCCCGGGGCUUAACCCCGGGUCUGCAUUCGAUACGGGCAGGCUAGAGUGUGGUAGGGGAGAUCGGAAUUCCUGGUGUAGCGGUGAAAUGCGCAGAUAUCAGGAGGAACACCGAUGGCGAAGGCAGGUCUCUGGGCCAUUACUGACACUGAGAAGCGAAAGCAUGGGGAGCGAACAGG